RNAcentral lists this ribosomal RNA (1539 nucleotides) under Mycobacterium paragordonae. RNAcentral describes it as "bacterial SSU rRNA". It matches the Rfam family "Bacterial small subunit ribosomal RNA". The record is from RNAcentral. Lineage: Bacteria; Bacillati; Actinomycetota; Actinomycetes; Mycobacteriales; Mycobacteriaceae.
UUGUUUGGAGAGUUUGAUUCUGGCUCAGGACGAACGCUGGCGGCGUGCUUAACACAUGCAAGUCGAACGGUAAGGCCCUUCGGGGUACACGAGUGGCGAACGGGUGAGUAACACGUGGGUAAUCUGCCCUGCACAUCGGGAUAAGCCUGGGAAACUGGGUCUAAUACCGAAUAGGACCACAGAACACAUGUCCUGUGGUGGAAAGCUUUUGCGGUGUGGGAUGGGCCCGCGGCCUAUCAGCUUGUUGGUGGGGUGAUGGCCCACCAAGGCGACGACGGGUAGCCGGCCUGAGAGGGUGUCCGGCCACACUGGGACUGAGAUACGGCCCAGACUCCUACGGGAGGCAGCAGUGGGGAAUAUUGCACAAUGGGCGAAAGCCUGAUGCAGCGACGCCGCGUGGGGGAUGACGGCCUUCGGGUUGUAAACCUCUUUCACCAUCGACGAAGGUUCGGGUUUUCUCGGAUUGACGGUAGGUGGAGAAGAAGCACCGGCCAACUACGUGCCAGCAGCCGCGGUAAUACGUAGGGUGCGAGCGUUGUCCGGAAUUACUGGGCGUAAAGAGCUCGUAGGUGGUUUGUCGCGUUGUUCGUGAAAUCUCACGGCUUAACUGUGAGCGUGCGGGCGAUACGGGCAGACUUGAGUACUGCAGGGGAGACUGGAAUUCCUGGUGUAGCGGUGGAAUGCGCAGAUAUCAGGAGGAACACCGGUGGCGAAGGCGGGUCUCUGGGCAGUAACUGACGCUGAGGAGCGAAAGCGUGGGGAGCGAACAGGAUUAGAUACCCUGGUAGUCCACGCCGUAAACGGUGGGUACUAGGUGUGGGUUUCCUUCCUUGGGAUCCGUGCCGUAGCUAACGCAUUAAGUACCCCGCCUGGGGAGUACGGCCGCAAGGCUAAAACUCAAAGAAAUUGACGGGGGCCCGCACAAGCGGCGGAGCAUGUGGAUUAAUUCGAUGCAACGCGAAGAACCUUACCUGGGUUUGACAUGCACAGGACGCCGGCAGAGAUGUCGGUUCCCUUGUGGCCUGUGUGCAGGUGGUGCAUGGCUGUCGUCAGCUCGUGUCGUGAGAUGUUGGGUUAAGUCCCGCAACGAGCGCAACCCUUGUCUCAUGUUGCCAGCGGGUAAUGCCGGGGACUCGUGAGAGACUGCCGGGGUCAACUCGGAGGAAGGUGGGGAUGACGUCAAGUCAUCAUGCCCCUUAUGUCCAGGGCUUCACACAUGCUACAAUGGCCGGUACAAAGGGCUGCGAUGCCGCGAGGUUAAGCGAAUCCUUUUAAAGCCGGUCUCAGUUCGGAUCGGGGUCUGCAACUCGACCCCGUGAAGUCGGAGUCGCUAGUAAUCGCAGAUCAGCAACGCUGCGGUGAAUACGUUCCCGGGCCUUGUACACACCGCCCGUCACGUCAUGAAAGUCGGUAACACCCGAAGCCAGUGGCCUAACCCUUUGGGAGGGAGCUGUCGAAGGUGGGAUCGGCGAUUGGGACGAAGUCGUAACAAGGUAGCCGUACCGGAAGGUGCGGCUGGAUCACCUCCUUUCUAAGGAG